GCGAACGGGGAGCAGCCCAGAGCCUGAAUCAGUGUGUGUGUUAGUGGAAGCGUCUGGAAAGGCGUGCGAUACAGGGUGACAGCCCCGUACACAAAAAUGCACAUACUGUGAGCUCGAUGAGUAGGGCGGGACACGUGGUAUCCUGUCUGAAUAUGGGGGGACCAUCCUCCAAGGCUAAAUACUCCUGACUGACCGAUAGUGAACCAGUACCGUGAGGGAAAGGCGAAAAGAACCCCGGCGAGGGGAGUGAAAAAGAACCUGAAACCGUGUACGUACAAGCAGUGGGAGCACGCUUAGGCGUGUGACUGCGUACCUUUUGUAUAAUGGGUCAGCGACUUAUAUUCUGUAGCAAGGUUAACCGAAUAGGGGAGCCGAAGGGAAACCGAGUCUUAACUGGGCGUUAAGUUGCAGGGUAUAGACCCGAAACCCGGUGAUCUAGCCAUGGGCAGGUUGAAGGUUGGGUAACACUAACUGGAGGACCGAACCGACUAAUGUUGAAAAAUUAGCGGAUGACUUGUGGCUGGGGGUGAAAGGCCAAUCAAACCGGGAGAUAGCUGGUUCUCCCCGAAAGCUAUUUAGGUAGCGCCUCGUGAAUUCAUCUCCGGGGGUAGAGCACUGUUUCGGCAAGGGGGUCAUCCCGACUUACCAACCCGAUGCAAACUGCGAAUACCGGAGAAUGUUAUCACGGGAGACACACGGCGGGUGCUAACGUCCGUCGUGAAGAGGGAAACAACCCAGACCGCCAGCUAAGGUCCCAAAGUCAUGGUUAAGUGGGAAACGAUGUGGGAAGGCCCAGACAGCCAGGAUGUUGGCUUAGAAGCAGCCAUCAUUUAAAGAAAGCGUAAUAGCUCACUGGUCGAGUCGGCCUGCGCGGAAGAUGUAACGGGGCUAAACCAUGCACCGAAGCUGCGGCAGCGACGCUUAUGCGUUGUUGGGUAGGGGAGCGUUCUGUAAGCCUGUGAAGGUGUGCUGUGAGGCAUGCUGGAGGUAUCAGAAGUGCGAAUGCUGACAUAAGUAACGAUAAAGCGGGUGAAAAGCCCGCUCGCCGGAAGACCAAGGGUUCCUGUCCAACGUUAAUCGGGGCAGGGUGAGUCGACCCCUAAGGCGAGGCCGAAAGGCGUAGUCGAUGGGAAACAGGUUAAUAUUCCUGUACUUGGUGUUACUGCGAAGGGGGGACGGAGAAGGCUAUGUUGGCCGGGCGACGGUUGUCCCGGUUUAAGCGUGUAGGCUGGUUUUCCAGGCAAAUCCGGAAAAUCAAGGCUGAGGCGUGAUGACGAGGCACUACGGUGCUGAAGCAACAAAUGCCCUGCUUCCAGGAAAAGCCUCUAAGCAUCAGGUAACAUCAAAUCGUACCCCAAACCGACACAGGUGGUCAGGUAGAGAAUACCAAGGCGCUUGAGAGAACUCGGGUGAAGGAACUAGGCAAAAUGGUGCCGUAACUUCGGGAGAAGGCACGCUGAUAUGUAGGUGAAGUCCCUCGCGGAUGGAGCUGAAAUCAGUCGAAGAUACCAGCUGGCUGCAACUGUUUAUUAAAAACACAGCACUGUGCAAACACGAAAGUGGACGUAUACGGUGUGACGCCUGCCCGGUGCCGGAAGGUUAA
This 1603-nucleotide ribosomal RNA is filed under the name Escherichia coli. RNAcentral describes it as "partial 23S ribosomal RNA". It matches the Rfam family "Bacterial large subunit ribosomal RNA", at positions 253 to 1880 of the family's 2925-position model. The record is from RNAcentral. Lineage: Bacteria; Pseudomonadati; Pseudomonadota; Gammaproteobacteria; Enterobacterales; Enterobacteriaceae.